CGUCUCUAUAGCAAUAAGGAGCCGCCACCUGUUCCUGAAGAGGGGACUCGGUCCACCUGAGGCCUGAGGCGGGCGCGGGGAGGAGUCCGAGGCCCCGCGGGCUCUGCGCCGUCUCGUCGGCCGCCUGCGGGCGUGAAGGGAUUGGAAUGAAAACUGACCUUUUCCAGAAGAACUAUAGAGCUGAGAAAGAGGAAUAAAAAUCCAGGCUGACACGCUGUGGUGAGAGAAGAAUUCACUGACGAGUAAGCUGAGGACCAGAGAGGAGAGGAGCUUGCUCAAGGAGGCACACUUAGAAGGCGGCAGAGCCGGGACUCAGGCUCAGGGGCUCACAACAGGAGAGUUACUCCGGACGGUGACAAGGAAGGAAUAAGGAGAUGGCUCUUGCAAGUGCUUCUACAAAGCAGCAGCACAUACCACGGCCUCAAGGGGGCGGCGGGUAGGGGGGUGUGGGGUGUGGGUGGAGUGGGGUGGGUAAAAUGUCCCUGCAUUCUCUGGGGUCUCCUACACUCGCCUCAGGUGGCAGUUUGCUUUUGGGUGCCUCUCUCCUUCAAGGAAAUCUCUGACAUUCACUUCAUUCUGAUUUCUCUUGCAGAUGUUGAGGGAGAAGGGUGGGGCUGGGGGACCCACAGCUAGUAUCUCUCAGUUCUCGUCCUGCUUCCAAGGAUGCCUCUGCCAGGCCUCUGCCAGGGGAGGGACUUAGCCUCCCCUGCCAAGUCUCUUUCCAGGAGCUUUUGCUUUUUCUCUCUCUGCUCCUGAGCUACCCCAUCUGUUAAAUGAAUCUGGUGCCUCUAUCUUGACAGAAGAUACAGUCUUAAUGGAGAACAUGCAUGUACUGAAACAACAGUACCCCAAGGUCAAUGUCAGGCCCUACCAUAUCCCAGCCAUCUAUCUAUUUUGGGUAAUUUAUUUCAUUUCGCUGAGUCUCAUCUUCCACAUCUAUAAAAUGGGUAUGUGCCUACAGCUGCAUAGGUGAGGCAUCUAUCACACCAGCCCUAGAGUGAAAUAAAACUGCAGUUCAAAUCUCAGCUGUGUGACUCAGAUAAGUUAAUUUCAGCAAGCUUCAGUUUUAUGACGAAGGGAAUAUAAACCUCAUCGGGUUAUGGUGUUGACUGAAUGAGCUAAUGAAUGGAAAACCCUGGCACACAGUAGGCAUUCAAUAGGUGGUGGCUAUUGCUGUUAUUUCGACUACUUCUCAGAAGGAACAAGGACCACAGAUGUCUGAUGGUAAAGGUAUAGUAGUGCCUGGGAAGGAGCAGUCUUGUUGCAGGCCAGACUCUGACCCAGCUGAGUGUGAGUGCAGCCAACUGGGCUCAAGCCUCACCACCCUCCAUAGAGUCCUGUCUGUCACACAUUCCUUCUGAGAAGGUUCCAAAAAUGCCAUGCAUUCCAGCACACUGCCCUUGUCAGCAGCGCUUCCAAACUGGAAGGGUGGAAGGAAACUUACCUGCCAGGUAGAGCAGCUCUUUCCCCACCACCUUGUACCUCCCACCCGGCCUUCAGAAGGCACAGACACUCUAAUGAGCACUCAUGGCUACCAUCAACUCAGAGCUUUCCUAUGUGCCAGGUGCUCCACCACAAACGCACCAGGCAAGAACUGCUAACCUCAUUCUGCUGGUGGGAAAACCGAAGCGAAGAAACGUCAGCCCGCCCAGAUGACUGACUAGGAACGGAUGAAGCCAGGAUCUGGGACGCAGGCUUGACUCUGAAAUGUGUAUGGCCUCCUCAUUCUCUUUUCUGCCUCCUCUGAAAAGACAGCGACUCAACAUCUUCUUGCCACUGUUACAAUUUAAUCAUUCAGCGUAGAUCAGCCCCUUUACAUACAAGAGGUAGCAGGGCAGUACCCUUGUCCCGGAGAAUCACACAGGGGUAGGAUUUCAGAAGACUGAGAGGUCACAUGACUGCCCUAGGUCACACGACAUAGUAAAGAGGCAAAGCUAGAAGCAAGAUUCAUGUCUCCCCUGACGUCUUUUUUAAGAAAAUAUAUUUAUUUUUAUUGUCUAUUUGGCUGUUCCAGGUCUUAGCUGUGGCAUGUGGGAUCAGUGAUCUUUGCUGUGACAUGGAGGAUCUUAGUGGCAUGUGGGAUCUGGUUCCCUGACCAGGAAUUGGACCAGGGCCCCCUGCCUUGGGAGCAUGGAGUCUUAGUCACUGAACCACCAAGGAAGUCCCUCCUCUGACUUCUGACUCCUGGAUCAGUGCUCCUUAGUCUGUACCCUGAGAGCUGCGGAUCUCCCCUCUUCCAGUUCUCAGUUUUCCUUUUCCUCAUGAUCUGAUCAGUCACAAAUCCUUCUGUCAAGUGGCAUAUGGUACUUAUCCCACAUCCUUCUCCCCAGUAUACACUGUCCAAGGCCCUCUAGAAUGUACAAAAGAAAUAGAAAAUAUGAUCCCCAAUCAAAGAGGUGUAUCAGGGACGUCCCUGGUGAUCCAGUGGAUGAGAGUCCACCUGCAGGUUCGAUCCCUGGUCUGGGAAGAUCCCACGUGCCAUGGAGCAACUGAGCCCGAGCCCCAGCUCCUGAAGCCCGCGAGCCCGAGAGCCUGCACACCUCAGGGAAGAGUAGACCCCCACUUGCUGCAACUAGAGAAAGCCCACACUGCAGCAAUGAAGACCCAGCAGAGCCGAAAAUUAAUUCAUUUUAAAAAGAGGUCAGCACCAGUGUAUGCUUUCAGACCCCUUUGUACCAUAAGGCAAAUCCCCAAAUGCCCAGAGUCUCACCAGGAAGGCAAGGCUUGUAUAUGCAAAAUAAUAUCUGAAUGCAACAUCAAGCAAUCCAGACAGAGAGUACCAGAGAAAGUCAGAGGAGACAGGAGUCGAUCAUCCAAGUAGGUUCCGUGGACAUUAGGAGGGAUUUGAGGUAAAUGUUAAUGACACUUAGAAAGAGAGGUACAAGAGAGGAAUAUAAACAAAAAUCAGGGACAGAGAUAAAGAACAGUCAGAACAACAACAGUAGAAGAAAUAGACAAAAGGAGUGGGGCACAUGCUAGGUCAGUGGACAGGUCGACCCUGGGCAGGCCUUGUUUCCCACCUGCCCAGGAUGGCUGAGCAGCCGCUUGGACAGAUAAGCAGAAGAUUGGAAGUAACGCUCUCUCAAAGUGUGUUCUGGCCCUGGGAUUCUAGGAGUAGCUUGUUCCCCAAGGCCCCUGGUCUUGUCUCUGUGCAGAGGUCUGCUGGCAGUCCUGCCAGGACCUGCUGGGGGCGGGGAGAACCUGGUCUGAGCCGCCCACACCUCCCCACUGGGCAGCCUCCUUGGCCUCUCAUCCCAGGGUCCCCCCCCCCAGCCCUGCCUCCCUGCCCACCCCCACACCUGAGUCACUUUGCCACCUGCUUCCUCCCCACCUGCUCCCUGGCUGCUUUCAUGAAGGAAGCAAAAAUCUCCAACCUGCCAAUUGGCAUGAGCACUGAUGUGUGGUUCCAGACUUCUCCACAUCACAAGGCAAGUCUCCAAACUGCCCCAAGCCUUCGCCCUGUCACCUCCAACACAGCUGCUCUUCCACACUUCGGAUGCCGCUCCACCAGGCUCAGCCCCUUACGUCCCAAUCAGUGCUCUCACCUCCUGUUUCCUUGAGAAGCCGGAAGCCAUCUGACAUGCACUUCAUAUCUCCCACCUCCC
Molecule: long non-coding RNA, 3605 nt
Organism: Cervus elaphus (red deer)
Lineage: Eukaryota; Metazoa; Chordata; Mammalia; Artiodactyla; Cervidae
Exons: 4
Source: RefSeq, a predicted model, not a curated record